AUUUGCCCUUGACGUUUUACCGAAAUUCCACUCAAUGCAGCGAAAGAUCAUACGAUUGUCCCGUUAAAGCUCUUAAACGUCAUCAGAUCUUCGAGCUUUAUGUUCGGUACAGCCUAGCUUCACUGGGAUGAGUUUUACUAGAGUUAUUAGCAAAGAGUCGAUCGACAAAACCAGACGUGAUUGUGGCAAGUACGUAGACAUAACCUACACAAAACUUACAUAAUCCCUCGUGUCGAAGUUUUCUUGCAAUCCAUAAAUUCAGAGGAAUCUGUGUUGAUCUGUGCUAGUGCCUAGUGAAAACAAUAAUCAACCAAGGUAUGUCUGCCGUGAGCUAGGAAAGUGACCAGUAUAAUUUAUGCGAAUUAAGUUUAUAGAACAGAGGUCAGGAGCCCUAUCUUUCUUGGCAGCCUAAGUGCACAUACGAGAGGCGUAUAGCCGAAGUGGUCCCCCAAUCUAAAAGGGGUACCCUUCGAACCCCCUCUUCUGACACAAUCGAGCAUCGAAAACCUCUGACUUGGGUCAACUUUAGUGAGGCGUAGCAACCCUUCGGAAGCCCAGCGCGUAAGGCGGCGCCUCGGAACCUUUCACCAGCUCCACUGAGACCACCAGUUUGUCGCGCACUUUAGUGCUUAUGUAAGCGGCAGAUCGACAUCAAGCCGGAUGUUCCACAUUUUAGCCCAGUGUCCAGAGCUAGAACAUUUAUUUUGACGGACCUGACUACAGAGGAGCCACCGCCAACAGCAAGACAGAUGUCCGGAGUUAUGCUGUGUUACUUUGCACAUUUUCUGGGAUUAAGUUCGAUAUGCCAUUUUAAAGCCAAUUCUCUGGCAGUUAUGUAUAUGUAUAUUCAAGCAUCGGGAAUAUGAGUGUUUGUAGAAAAGAUUGGGUAUGAAAUAAUAAAUUGAAAUCGUACUUGCAGGUACGUUCGAGUGCAUAUUUUUUAAUACCUUCUAUUUUUCCCCAGAAACCAGCACCUACGUCAUCAUUGAGCUCAACGAUUACGAAAGGAGUAAGGGUAUUAAAGUGGUAGAAUGAAAACUGCCUGAUUGUUCUAGGGUCUAUACGGUUCGAUUUACCAGUAUAGCAUAGGUUUGGAGGGUAGAGAAGAGGGAUUCUCGACGACACCUGAGUUUCCCGUGACUUGAAUAGAGUAGUUGAUAUCAUCAUCCCCCUUUUUCUCAACAACAAAUAAUUAAUCCGCUUUCCCUACAUUCAGUCCAGUUUAUUUGAUUCUUUUUAAAUGUGAACCUAAAACAUUAUGCGAGUGUGUGUCAGUAC
RNAcentral lists this long non-coding RNA (1278 nucleotides) under Drosophila guanche. The record is from RNAcentral. Lineage: Eukaryota; Metazoa; Arthropoda; Insecta; Diptera; Drosophilidae.